ACCGAUGUGGAGAGAUUUGCCUGCUUGCAACCACGUUAAAAAAUGCUAAAAUGUUGACA
Bacteroides sp. CAG:709 is the source of this 59-nucleotide non-coding RNA. The record is from Rfam. NCBI's taxonomy places the organism in Bacteria, Pseudomonadati, Bacteroidota, Bacteroidia, Bacteroidales, Bacteroidaceae.